GACGAACGCUGGCGGCGUGCUUAACACAUGCAAGUCGAACGGAAAGGCCCUGCUUUUGUGGGGUGCUCGAGUGGCGAACGGGUGAGUAACACGUGAGUAACCUGCCCUUGACUUUGGGAUAACUUCAGGAAACUGGGGCUAAUACCGGAUAGGAGCUCCUGCUGCAUGGUGGGGGUUGGAAAGUUUCGGCGGUUGGGGAUGGACUCGCGGCUUAUCAGCUUGUUGGUGGGGGAGUGGCUUACCAAGGCUUUGACGGGUAGCCGGCCUGAGAGGGUGACCGGCCACAUUGGGACUGCGAUACGGCCCAGACUCCUACGGGAGGCAGCAGUGGGGGAUAUUGCACUAUGGGCGGAAGCCUGAUGCAGCAACGCCGCGUGCGGGAUGACGGCCUUCGGUUUGUAAACCGCUUUCGCCUGUGACGAAGCGUGAGUGACGGUACUGUGUAAAGAAGCACCGGCUAACUACGUG
RNAcentral lists this ribosomal RNA (468 nucleotides) under uncultured bacterium. RNAcentral's name for it is "partial 16S ribosomal RNA". It matches the Rfam family "Bacterial small subunit ribosomal RNA", at positions 28 to 507 of the family's 1533-position model. The record is from RNAcentral.